AUACGUAGGGGGCAAGCGUUGUCCGGAAUCAUUGGGCGUAAAGAGCUUGUAGGCGGUUUGUCGCGUCUGCUGUGAAAAUCCGGGGCUCAACCCCGGACUUGCAGUGGGUACGGGCAGACUGGAGUGUGGUAGGGGAGACUGGAAUUCCUGGUGUAGCGGUGGAAUGCGCAGAUAUCAGGAGGAACACCGAUGGCGAAGGCAGGUCUCUGGGCCACUACUGACGCUGAGAAGCGAAAGCAUGGGGAGCGAACA
Molecule: ribosomal RNA, 252 nt
Filed under: uncultured prokaryote
Description: partial 16S ribosomal RNA
Rfam family: Bacterial small subunit ribosomal RNA
Source: RNAcentral